Molecule: long non-coding RNA, 790 nt
Organism: Raphanus sativus (radish)
Lineage: Eukaryota; Viridiplantae; Streptophyta; Magnoliopsida; Brassicales; Brassicaceae
Exons: 4
Source: RefSeq, a predicted model, not a curated record
AAUGGCUCAAAUCAAUUUCUAAAACCUGAACCAGAGCUUCACUCUCUCUCAAAGCUCAAAGAUCUUCGUCUCUGUAUUCAACACUAUUGUGAUGAACAAAAUCAAUUCUCAACCACUCUGAACUUGCAGCUAUAGUUUUCAGGAAUAGUUGAGAGUGACGACGACGAAGAAUCUACACAUCUCGUUGCUAUAGAGCAAUCAACUUCAGUCUCGAAUUUUCCUUGAUGUUGGAGGGGAAGGUCUGAUUGAUCCAUGUAAGUUGUAAAGUGUGCCUCCUGAUGGAUGGUAGUUGAGGUUGAGAUUCCAGCUGCUGGUUGCUAGAGAUCAUGCUUUCAUCUUCAUCUCUGUCCACAUGAGGUGACCAGACCAAACUUGUGCUUUUGUUACAUUUGUAAUCUGAAACAAGAGAUUCCUUGUAUGAGUUCCGAUUGGUUGAUACACGUGAUAUGAAUAUGAUCCAAGACAUUUCGGUUCUUAUAGAUAGUUCCAUGGAGGCACUUAUGCAGCAGCGAAGCUCGCGCAUUUCUCUUGCUCUCUCUCACCCUCAUCACUCGCAUCAUAUCAUUUAUAGUUUUGUUGAAGUGGUUGACACAAGCCUAACGAAAUAUAGACUAGAGAUAAAAGCCUUGAGCAAGUGAAAUCGUUGGGUUUUAAUGGACCGGACUUUUAAAUUAUAAUGUGUGGGUCUAAAAAAAGAAAUGUAUUAGUGAUCUUUACUUCUUAUUUAUUUGUUUGAUUGUUCUAGUAACUAUAUUUUUCAAAAAUAUGUUACUAUUUGUUUUCAUGUUAA